RNAcentral lists this long non-coding RNA (2825 nucleotides) under Marmota monax (woodchuck). Lineage: Eukaryota; Metazoa; Chordata; Mammalia; Rodentia; Sciuridae. The record is from RNAcentral.
AAAAUUACCAAGGUUCUGUUAAUUAAAAAACAUUUUUUGAAUCUUUCCAAAUACAAAGAGUAUUCCUAUUAUUAGCUCAUUAUCAAUCAAAAAGCUAAGGAUUAGUGUAUGUCAUUAAUAGAAUCUUGUGCUUUCCUUUUAAGUAGCUUUAAAUAUGUUUUCUUAGAGGUUUGUAAUCAGAAAAAGUUCUUUUUAAAAUCUUUUUACUAAAAAAUCUAUUCCAAGGUUCUAAAAAAUCAACUAAAAAACCAAAUGAUACUGUCUCCCCUCAGCAGAGCUUAUAAUCUUAUGGAGAAUGCAGAAAAGCAGACAGGUGUUUAAAAUGCAGUGAGGAAAUGCAUUGUACUAGUUGCUAUAUUUUGGGUCUCGAUUUCCCCCAAUGACCUAUGAUUACCAAGUCUUGGUCACCAAUCUGUGGCACUGUUAGAAGGUGGUAAAACAUUUUAAGAGGUAGGAAGUUAGGUUUUUAGGAGCCAUGCCCUCAGAAGGGUUAUUAGAAGCCAGUGGUCUCCUCCAGUUGCUUCUCUCUCCUUCCUGGUUGCCAUGAGGUGAAUAGCUCUACCACACACCCUCCUGCCACAGUGGACUGUGCAACCAUAGGCCCAAGCAACGAGGCCACACAAUGAAGUUCUGAAACUAUACGCCAAAAUUACCCCUUCCUUUUAAAAAGUUAAAAAAGUUGUCAGGUAUUUUGUCACAGUAACAGAAUGAUAAAUAUUGGUUUAGGACCACCUCACAUGGAACCAUCUUUUCUGAGCCCUGAAGGCUCAAGACACUUUAGCUGAUAAAAUGAGCCUAUACACGGAACCAGGAUAUGCACAGGCCUGGAGAUAAGAGGAUGGAAACUGGGCUAAAAAUGGAGUAUGAAAGGGAACUGGAGAGAGAAGGUUGACAGGAAAGGAGAAGGAAUUCCUCAAGAACCUUGGUGGCUUUUAUGCAGGGAAGUGAGGGGACCAGAUCUGCUUGCCUCAGAGUGAUUCAAGGAGUAAGAGUGGAAGUUGGUUACAUAAGAAAAAAAAUUGUUUUAACUGAGUGGUUAAGCGGGUGGAGCAGAGUGGAUGGAAUCUGAAUAUUUUAAGUAUGGCUAAUAGGAAGUGGUAAAUGAAUGGCUGAGUUUGUGUGGAAAUCAGGGGUGAUUCAGAAUUUUUUGGCUUUGGCAACUAGAUAGAGGAGGUGCCCUUUGCUUAUGUAGAUAGGAGACCAGUUUGGGCAUAAGGAUUUUCUAGAGAUUGUGAUGUCUUUGGGAUAUCCUGAUUAAGUUGGCAAGUAGUUUUGCCUGAAUCGGAAAAAUGUAAUCUGAGGUGAUUGAUGAAUGGAAGACCACAUGGCCCUAGACAUGUAAAUUAAUGCUUUGGGGGUUGUAGUUGUUGGAUUACAGGAAAAAGCUCACGUUAAACACACCAUACCACUGUUAGGUAAAUUGCUGUGUCUGUUUUAUUGUUUUGCUUUCACAUGGCUUGAUUUUCUGACAAAUAAUAUAUUCCCUUAAGUAUUAGUCAAAGAGCACCCUAUUUAAAAGAUUUGGAAGAAGCACUUGCUUCUUCUUUUCCCCUCUGGCUGUGCUUCUGGGUGCUGGAAAAAGAUGGCAACAGGAAGAUAAGCAUUAUGCAGGGCCACACAUAGCUAAAACCAGUAGCAGAAGGAUGAAACUGGACCCACAGAUCUGACAAGUGAAAGUGACUGGUGACACUAGGGAGAACUCUUGCUUGAAGGGGGACAGAGGCUGGAAAAUAGGUUGAAGCAGAGAGUCAGGUGAAGAAAUGGAAGACUUGACUCAGCUGGGCUUGAGGAAUACUUUCCCCUACUGUAUUCUAGGAAGAUUUGGUGUGACUGGAAAACAUCACAAACUGCAAGCCCUACAACUCAGUUAAAAUCCACUAUUCUCUGUCUCAAGACUUAAUCUUUGCUUAGGAAUGCCCUAUUUGGCCCUUUUGCCACUCCCACUUCAUUUCUGCCCUGCGCCUUUGGCUUCCUCUAGACUCCCAAGCCUCUUCUGGCCAGUACUACAGAUCCUUUAAGUUUACGCUGAAAUAAGAUAGCCCAGGAAGGCUCCUCCCUCUCGUGAUUAGGCCUUGCCCCUUACCACUGUAAGCAUAAACUUGAGAUAAAAAAAAAAAAAAAAUCUUCCUAAGACUUCAUACAGUGUGAGAUCUAGUCAUUGAUACUUGCGCUCUCACUUAUGUGCUUGUGAGGUUUCUUAAAAGAUGUAAAAAGACAUCCUGAUGGCAAUAAUCCAUCAAAGUGAGCUGACUAAAGAAGGCAAGAAAGUCACUAGGACCUUGGGACUUAGGAAAGAUGUGAGAACACAGGAUGUCUGGGAUGCAGAAUUGGGAGGUCUGGCAAGUUAAAGUGUGAUGGAAAGUGGUUCCUUGACUGAUCUUUGCAAUAUUGGUUUAAACACAAAUUGGUUUAUCACAUGCCUCCAAAUCUAAGGAGAGCAGGGAAUCAGAAUUGUUUCUGCAGUGAGGGACUAUAAAAACUUGGGAUGACUGAACAUUUUCAUUAUCCUUGUUAUCCUACACCUUACAAGUGUUUAAAAUAUUCGCUUCUGAAGAGUUGAGAUGACCUGACAUGUUUGCCUUCACACUAGGGUUUUUACUGUAGUCCUCGAAUACUGCCUUCCACACAAAUGAGUGUCAGCUUUUGGAGGACCAUGUGAUGAUAUUAUGCAGCAGCUCCCUGAAUAAGGUGCAGUACCUGCAACAUCUGCUUAAAACUCAAAAACAUCAGUCAACCUUCAAGGACAGCAUGGUGCUUUAUGUCACCUGUUGACUUAUAGAAUAAACUCUCAUAACCAGAGCAAGGAGAUUGUUACAUCAAGAUUG